UCUGGUGAUCAUAGUGCAAGGGUCACACCCGACUCCAUUCCGAACUCGGAAGUUAAGCCUUGUAACGCCGAUGGUACUUCACGGGAGACUGUGUGGGAGAGUAGGUCGUCACCAGUA
Molecule: ribosomal RNA, 117 nt
Filed under: Fidelibacterota bacterium
Lineage: Bacteria; Pseudomonadati; Fidelibacterota
Source: RNAcentral